AAAUGAAUUGACGGGGACCCGCACAAGCGGUGGAUGAUGUGGAUUAAUUCGAUGCAACGCGAAAAACCUUACCUACGUUUGACAUGCCAGGAAGGCCGGAGAGAUCUGGUUGUGCCCGAAAGGGAACCUGGACACAGGUGCUGCAUGGCUGUCGUCAGCUCGUGUCGUGAGAUGUUGGGUUAAGUCCCGCAACGAGCGCAACCCUUAUCAUUAGUUGCUACGCAAGGGCACUCUAAUGAGACUGCCGGUGACAAACCGGAGGAAGGUGGGGAUGACGUCAAGUCCUCAUGGCCCUUAUACGUAGGGCUUCACACGUCAUACAAUGGUCGGUACAGAGGGCUGCCAACCCGCGAGGGGGAGCCAAUCCCAGAAAACCGAUCGUAGUCCGGAUUGCACUCUGCAACUCGAGUGCAUGAAGUCGGAAUCGCUAGUAAUCGCGGAUCAGCAUGUCGCGGUGAAUACGUUCCCGGGUCUUGUACACACCGCCCGU
This 490-nucleotide ribosomal RNA is filed under the name uncultured bacterium. RNAcentral describes it as "bacterial SSU rRNA". It matches the Rfam family "Bacterial small subunit ribosomal RNA", at positions 903 to 1397 of the family's 1533-position model. The record is from RNAcentral.